CGCAAGCCCAGGGGCUGGGACCCAGGGACAGCCUGGCAUCGAAGCCAGGUCACCGCAAGUCUAGGGGCUGAGACCCAGGAACAGCCUGGCAUCGAAGCCAGGUCACCGCAAGUCCAGGGGCUGGGACGCAGGGACAGCCUGGCAUCGAAGCCAGGUCACCGCAAGUCCAGGGGCUGGGACGCAGGGACAGCCUGGCAUCGAAGCCAGGUCACCGCAAGUCCAGGGGCUGGGACGCAGGGACAGCCUGGCAUCGAAGCCAGGCCACCGCAAGUCCAGGGGCUGGGACGCAGGGACAGCCUGGCAUCGAAGCCAGGUCACCGCAAGUCCGGCAUCGGCGCCUAAGGGACCCGCGGCACCCCAAUCGGCGGCCCCCUAGCGAACCGCGCUGCUCAGUCCCGGCGCUUUCGCGUGAAAGCUGGAACCACGGGCGCAGCUGUUCACGCCGCGCGGCCUUGAGCUACCCGGAGCAGGCCGGGCCCGCCUGGUGCGCCCCAUACGUCAGGAAGAUGGAGAGAGCCUGUAAAGCACAAGGGAGGGGGGCAGCUGUGAACGCUAAUCAUUUCGGCAGCGGGAACACCUGAAAUAAACUUCCCUGGGAACAGACAAAAGAAGACACACUUCAUCAAGAUUUCACAGGCUCUUACGAUCUUAGGGAUCUAACUCUACUCAACGUCAUAAACCCCUCGCUGCUGGGUAAACACCCCAUGGUUUCUAUUUUCCAGCGGGAGGAAUCGAGAACAGACACAGCAAAACAGAAAAAGUCUAAGCUGCAGUAACUAGGAGCCACUUUUCAGUGCCUGCAGAGAGACUCCCCCUAGGAGCAGCCGGAAGGAACCAACUGCCAGAUUUCAACCGGCACCGAGACUUCUGGAACUCCGGUGCCGACCUUCUGUCCUGCCAGCGAGGGAGAGCCCGAAGCGUGCCCCGUCUCUGAGACGCACGGUCCCUCGCCUGUGCUGGCAGCUUGUGCUAGGCCCCCUCGGAUCUGCUCAUCCACAGCAUAUAGGGUGUGUUUAUCUAUAGGCACCAAUUCCCAAUGCUCUCGUCACAGUGAAAAUAACAGUCAUUGGUCAGGAAGCGUCCCAAGUGUCGCUGGGUGGCUGGAGCACGUGUGCGCUUACUGGGUGGAGCCAGGACCAGGGAAA
Miniopterus natalensis is the source of this 1145-nucleotide non-coding RNA. Lineage: Eukaryota; Metazoa; Chordata; Mammalia; Chiroptera; Miniopteridae. The record is from RefSeq and is a predicted model, not a curated record.